AUUUAGAUGUUAAUUGACCAAUUAACCUUUUUAUUGCUUAAAAAAAUAUUUCCAAGCUUAAUGGCUUACAUGAGCAUGAGCAUGAGCAUGAGCAUAGAUGACCGCACAAUUCGUAGUUGCUACUCCGUGAUUGACCAGAGCAAUCGAAAUUGCACAAGGAACCAAUGAAUAGGGCUUGGGACUAGCUUACUAUUCUCAAUGUACACAGGUCGAGAGCUCUCAACUUUAAUAAGGUCAAUAACGGCGCCGGCCACGUCCUUACGGUCAUCGAGGAUGGAAGGGAAUGUUAGUAAGACAAACGUUGUUAUAAAGACCGCGACUCGCUGCAUCUCCACGUUUGUCUCAGGAAGGAAUUUUUUGUUAGUAGGGUAAGGUACAUUGUCAGUCCGGGAGUCACCUAUGGUUGGUGAUAUGAUUUGACAAUGGAUCAAUAUACACAAACCGCCGUUAACAACCGACCACUUUUCGACGCAAGAACUAGCCAAAAAGAAAAUUCGAUCGCGCGUCUCCACUCCACUAGGGAGCAGAAACCUUUAGUCUAUUCCACACAGAAAUACACUGAACGCGACUCACUUGUCGGCGCCCGGAUUUUUUCUCGACCGGCGAACCCGAACCCGAACCCGAAAUGUAAAAAAUGAAAGAAAAUAUUUAUUAUCAACUAAAAGUGUAUUGGAAACUAGCGCCGAAGGGAAGCGAAAAAUUCGGAACCGACUCAACCACGGCGCGCGCACACUCGUCCCGUCGUCGGAGCCCCGCAGAGAGAAGAGAAAAAAAAAUCGCAAAAAUCUAGCAAAGCGAGCGCGCGAAGCUUUGCUGCUGUCGAACUACCGCACACUACUGACUGCUUGGCGUCCCGUCGUCGGUGCCCUGCAGAGAAGAAAAAAAAAAUCGCAAAACUCUAGCAAAGCGAGCGCGCGAAACUUUGCUGCUGCCGAACUACCGCACACUACUGUAUUUCCAAGCUUAAUGGCUUUGGGGCAGCAGGGACGGAUGUCCUGGGGCCUGACGCACCCCCCCGCUUGCGAGUCAGCCGCGUAGUUGCCGGCUAAGAAUAGGACUACUAACCCCAAUUCAAGGUGUCAAGCGACCCGUGCCGAGGAAUGAGUGAUCGAGGGGGUGAAAAAGAUGCUCGAUCUUUAACGGAGCCUGUGGGGCACCUGGGCACCCCCCACAGUAAGCUGUCCCUUACCGCGUUAAUGCAGAGCUCUGGCGUGGUGGACAUUCUUUCUCGUGCGACUCGUGGGAAUCAAAUAUGAGUAAACAAAAUUCUAAAUCAAGUGUAUCAGGUAGUAGCGGUGCGAUCAACCUGUUACAUGUUGUAAUUUUGAUGGGAAAGUUGAAUCGGUGAAUAAGAAUUAGGCCUAUGGUUAGCAUCAAAAUUGUAAAACAAAACAAAUGUUAUAGUUAAGAUAGUUGUAAACAGAGAGCAGCCAAAUCACUCGAAGGAUGAAUAUCCCUCGUUUAGUACUUCGAAUGUGCGAAAAGUACAAUAGUCCGUCCACACGUACACAGUCACCCAACCGAAGGCCGUGGAUCGGAAACAGUCUCAGCACAAAAGCAGCAGCCAUUCAUUCUCCACACUGCACAAGCGCCAGUAUCGUGAGGCUCGGGUCUGCGAGAAAAAACGUGGCCGGACAACGGUAUCAACCAAGUAAGUUAGAACACGAUGUUCGAGAGACCACAGCUAAUCUUUAUCUACGAUUUGUGUUUGGCAGAAACCCUGUGGAAACCCCACCGAAAUCAGGCUUCUUCGAAUCUGGUUGCCUCCGCUAAACCGUGAUGUAAGUGGAUGAAUUCCUCCAAUAAAGAGGAUGUGUCUAACAGAUAUUAUUCACAGAUAGCAGAAGAUAUCCUGAACGGGAAAGGCAUUCCCGCGACCCACCUCACAUUUGAAUCUGGAUUCUGGAUCUGGCCUAUUGUCCAUCUACCUACGCGCCCAAGGCGCGCGCACUCGUACGUGCAGUGCGAGUAGCCAAAUCAAUCCACGAACUUGGCCAAAGCAACGGUUAUAACGACGCCACUGCGCGAGAAUUGUGGCAAGGCUAGACAAUCGAGGAGCCAUCGAAGCCGGAGAAGACCAGGCCUUUAAUCCACGAACAAAAGGAGCCCCGACAACGGGGCUCUUUGUUCACGCUCGCGGGCGCUCAGCAGCGGUUGUGAUCACCAUCGGCCUUGACCUUCGAAGCAACGUGAAGUGCUAGACCGGAAUAGACGCGAUAAGCACGGCUCGGUAGAGAAGAACCUGGGAGCUGGGACGAGAAGUGAGACGUAGUGAGUGAGAUAGCUGAUUGAGCGGUGGUUAGAGAUGCCGAGACGGACUGCUGGUUCGGAGAAGAAUCGCUCAUAGGCCGAUGAAAGUGCAUUUAGUGUGGUGCGUGCGGACGGGACUAGACAGUUCGAUCUCUCAUCGAUAUUAAGCGAGCGAGGAGCAACAACAGGGCGCCAGAGGCGACGAAGAUCGGCAUGCAUGCUAGCGUUAUGACUUCACGGGCCCGUGAGUAAUAGCUGUUAAGUCACAAUUAGUUUAAGAACAAACCCACAAAUGUAUCUUAAGCAGAAACUCGUAAUACAGUUAUGAAUGAAAGUUUGUUUGUAUUAUUAAGAGACACUCAUCCAUUAUCGCUCAAUAGACGGGAAAGUGUCUG
This is a long non-coding RNA of Aedes albopictus (Asian tiger mosquito), 2645 nucleotides long. RefSeq lists it as uncharacterized. The transcript has 3 exons. NCBI's taxonomy places the organism in Eukaryota, Metazoa, Arthropoda, Insecta, Diptera, Culicidae. The record is from RefSeq and is a predicted model, not a curated record.